AAUAUUUGCCAGAAAAGUAUUAAUCAUAUUCGGUAAAUUAAAUUAAAUUUAUUUCUUCUUUUAAGCUAAAAUGGAAUGUCAAACUUUUUAUUAUUUUAUUUAAAUUUAAAAUUCGUCAUAAGAAUUUUUUAUUAUUUAAUACUUUACUAACGAUUUGUAAUUUUCAAUAUUUUUCAAGUUCAAUCGAUCAUCCUGAUUGCAAGUCAUUGUUGAUUGGAAACGUCCGUGAGCAGAAGCUGGAAAAUUAUCCCCAUCUGUUUUAUCGAACUACUUUUCUUCAAAAAUUCCAUCUAGGAGAGACCUAAAUAGUAUCAAGGACAAUCAUUGUCUUUUCCAUGGAAUUGGAAAAGUGAUUCGCAGAUAGCAGCAGAACUCAGAGCAAACAGUAAAGGCCGUAAAUCUGCAAAACACAACUUAGAAAAGUGAGCGCUGUAAUAAAAGUAGACGAGGAGCACUACCACUGAUCAAAUUUCAUUAUGUCAUCGUUUAUCUUUACGGGGCAAAACACAAUCAGUCUUUUGAAAUAUCUUAUUUCUUCUGAAACUGGUAAACACAAUUGGGAGAAAGCAGAAGAACAUACAUCCAAAAGCUGAGAAGAAGACUUCACGAAACUACUAGAAAGUCGUGCAACACCCCAUAGAAAUUAAUGUAAUACAAUUUUAUUGUGAAUACACAUUAUUUAUGUCAAAUAAAUUUAUUUUUGAAAUCAUAGCAAGAGUUUUUUAAAUAUACCCUGGUACUGUUAUAUCUACCCGAGAAUAUUAUUUGAUUUAAUGUGGAGGAAUAUCAAAGCAAACAUAUUUGCCAUUGAAUCUAUGGUAAAGUACAUUUAAAUAUACCAAGGAAAUUUUUAAUUUUACCCAUUGUGUAUUUAAAUUAAUGGUAAAUCGUGGUUAAAACAAAUAUUUCUACUAUUGAAACUAUGGUAGUGUUACCCAGAAAUUUUUGAUUCUACCCAUGAAAGUGUUUAAAAUCCACUUUAGAAAUAAAGUGCAAAUGUAUUUGAUUUAAAAGACAUGUUUUCUUUUCAAAUACAGUGCCAUUCAAAAUAAAUACAAAUAUAUUUGUUGUGGCUAUGAUUACUGCCUUUCAGAUCAAAUGUAAAAAUAUUUGAAGUAAAAGUCAUCUGUAUUUAAAUCAAAAAAUACUUUAAAAUCAAAUGUAUUCUACCAUUGGGGCCAAAAUACCCAUAAUUUCAUUUGAUUUUACCCAGAAAA
Molecule: long non-coding RNA, 1217 nt
Organism: Phlebotomus papatasi
Lineage: Eukaryota; Metazoa; Arthropoda; Insecta; Diptera; Psychodidae
Exons: 3
Source: RefSeq, a predicted model, not a curated record